CAGCAGCCGCGGUAAUACGGAGGGUGCAAGCGUUAAUCGGAAUUACUGGGCGUAAAGCGCACGCAGGCGGUUUGUUAAGUCAGAUGUGAAAUCCCCGAGCUUAACUUGGGAACUGCAUUUGAAACUGGCAAGCUAGAGUCUUGUAGAGGGGGGUAGAAUUCCAGGUGUAGCGGUGAAAUGCGUAGAUAUCUGGAGGAAUACCGGUGGCGAAGGCGGCCCCCUGGACAAAGACUGACGCUCAGGUGCGAAAGCGUGGGGAGCAAACAGGAUUAGAUACCCCUGUAGUCCCUGUCUCUUAUAC
RNAcentral lists this ribosomal RNA (301 nucleotides) under uncultured bacterium. RNAcentral describes it as "partial 16S ribosomal RNA". It matches the Rfam family "Bacterial small subunit ribosomal RNA", at positions 509 to 807 of the family's 1533-position model. The record is from RNAcentral.